This 825-nucleotide ribosomal RNA is filed under the name uncultured archaeon. RNAcentral describes it as "bacterial SSU rRNA". It matches the Rfam family "Archaeal small subunit ribosomal RNA", at positions 23 to 834 of the family's 1478-position model. The record is from RNAcentral.
GCUACUGCCAUCAGAGUUCGAUUAGGCCAUGUUAGUCGAGGGUACCUCUUCUUCUUCGGAGGAUGAGGUAACCCGGCGGACGGCUCAGUAACACGUGGAUAACUUGCCCUUGGGUCUGGGAUAACCCCUGGGAAACUGGGGCUAAUACCGGAUAGAGCAUCGAUCGCUGGAAUGCAUAAUGCUCGAAAACUACGGUGCCCAAGGAUAGGUCUGCGGCUGAUUAGGUUGUUGUUGAUGUAAUGGACCAACAAGCCUACGAUCGGUACGGGUUGUGAGAGCAAUAGCCCGGAGAUGGGUUCUGAGAAAAGAACCCAGGUCCUACGGGACGCAUCAGGCGCGAAAACUUUACAAUGUGCGAAAGCACGAUAAGGGAACUCUGAGUGCCCCCUAAGGGGGCUGUUCUAGUGUCUAAAAAGCAAUAGAAGUAAGGGCUGGGCAAGACCGGUGCCAGCCGCCGCGGUAACACCGGCAGCCCAAGUGGUAGCCACGUUUAUUGGGUCUAAAGCGUUCGUAGCCGGCUUGGUAAGUUCCUUGGUAAAUUUAGCCGCUUAACGGUUAAGCUUUCAGGGAAUACUGCUUGGCUUGGGACUGGGAGAGGUCAGAGGUACUCCAGGGGUAGGGGUGAAAUCCAUUAAUCCUUGGGGGACCACCGGUAGCGAAGGCGUCUGACCAGACCAGCUCCGACGGUGAGGGACGAAAGGCUAGGGGCGCGAACCGGAUUAGAUACCCGGGUAGUCCUAGCUGUAAACGAUGCGGGCUAGGUGUUGGCAUUACUGCGAGUGGUGCCAGUGCCGAAGGGAAGCCGUUAAGCUCGCCUUCUGGGGA